Molecule: microRNA precursor, 95 nt
Filed under: Canis lupus familiaris (dog)
Lineage: Eukaryota; Metazoa; Chordata; Mammalia; Carnivora; Canidae
Also listed under: 3 other names
Description: mir-544 microRNA precursor family
Rfam family: mir-544 microRNA precursor family
Source: Rfam by way of RNAcentral
AUUACCUGAAGAUCUUGUUGAAAUGCAGAUUCUAAUUCAGUAGGUCUAAAAGAGACUGAGAUGCUGCAUUUCCAACAAGUUCCAGGUGAUACCAA